This 907-nucleotide ribosomal RNA is filed under the name uncultured bacterium. Its description in RNAcentral is "bacterial SSU rRNA". It matches the Rfam family "Bacterial small subunit ribosomal RNA", at positions 33 to 931 of the family's 1533-position model. The record is from RNAcentral.
ACGCUGGCGGCAGGCUUAACACAUGCAAGUCGAACGGUAACAUAAAGAAGCUUGCUUCUUUGAUGACGAGUGGCGGACGGGUGAGUAAUGCUUGGGAAUCUAGCUUAUGGAGGGGGAUAACUACGGGAAACUGUAGCUAAUACCGCGUAAUAUCGAGAGAUUAAAGUGUGGGACCUUCGGGCCACAUGCCAUAGGAUGAGCCCAAGUGGGAUUAGGUAGUUGGUGAGGUAAAGGCUCACCAAGCCGACGAUCUCUAGCUGGUCUGAGAGGAUGACCAGCCACACUGGUACUGAGACACGGCCCAGACUCCUACGGGAGGCAGCAGUGGGGAAUAUUGCGCAAUGGGGGCAACCCUGACGCAGCCAUGCCGCGUGAAUGAAGAAGGCCUUCGGGUUGUAAAGUUCUUUCGGUAGCGAGGAAGGCACUUAGUUUAAUAAACUAGGUGAUUGACGUUAACUACAGAAGAAGCACCGGCUAACUCCGUGCCAGCAGCCGCGGUAAUACGGAGGGUGCGAGCGUUAAUCGGAAUAACUGGGCGUAAAGGGCACGCAGGCGGUGACUUAAGUGAGGUGUGAAAGCCCCGGGCUUGACCUGGGAAUUGCAUUUCAUACUGGGUCGCUAGAGUACUUUAGGGAGGGGUAGAAUUCCACGUGUAGCGGUGAAAUGCGUAGAGAUGUGGAGGAAUACCGAAGGCGAAGGCAGCCCCUUGGGAAUGUACUGACGCUCAUGUGCGAAAGCGUGGGGAGCAAACAGGAUUAGAUACCCUGGUAGUCCACGCUGUAAACGAUGUCGAUUUGGGGGUUGAGCUUUAAGUUUGGCGCCCGUAGCUAACGUGAUAAAUCGACCGCCUGGGGAGUACGGCCGCAAGGUUAAAACUCAAAUGAAUUGACGGGGGCCCGCACAAGCG